Long non-coding RNA from Choloepus didactylus (southern two-toed sloth), 640 nucleotides. RefSeq lists it as uncharacterized. Lineage: Eukaryota; Metazoa; Chordata; Mammalia; Pilosa; Megalonychidae. The record is from RefSeq and is a predicted model, not a curated record. The transcript is spliced from 4 exons.
CCACCAUUGAGAGCUGCAGGCUGCCUUCUCUCAGAAGAAGAGCUGGAGGUGGUUCCAGACCCCCAAGGUGGGUGGAGGUGUACCUCAUCCUCUUUUUUGGCUUCUUGCCCUAAGAAUGAAUGGCUCAGAGUCUGCUCCUGAGGAACCUCUCCAGUAGAAGAUCAAAGAUUCAGUACCUCAGGGCUGGAAGAAAGAAAAAUGGCAGAGCACAGAGAGAGCUGUUCAUGUGACUUAGAAGAUGAGAAGAUUGAGGCCUGGAGAGGUUGAGACUUCUAUUGAAGAUUGCACGAUGCUAGUGAGUGGUACGCUCCCAAAGGUUCACCAGCAAAACGCUUGAGCUGGUGCACAUUAGGGAAACGGAAUGAUUGGUUGAUACUGGCAUGGAUAUUUUCAAGCUGAGGAAUAAACAGAUUGGGAGAAGUGAAAUAGUAUUUAUUAAUUAACAAAAAUCAGUGCAUGCGUAGUCGUUAGGAGGGUGGGGGCUAGUGCUCAACUUUCCUGGCUUCAAUCCUGAUAUUUCCUGACACUUAAUCUUGUUCCUCACUUUCUUCACCUGUAAAAUGGGGACAACAGCAAGGUCUUUCUCAUAGGGUGGUUGAGAGAAUAAAAGGCAUCAAUACAUGGCCAAGCAUUGUAUUAG